Molecule: ribosomal RNA, 305 nt
Filed under: uncultured bacterium
Lineage: Bacteria
Description: bacterial SSU rRNA
Rfam family: Bacterial small subunit ribosomal RNA
Source: RNAcentral
CCUACGGGGGGCAGCAGUUAGGAAUAUUCGGCAAUGGGGGAAACCCUGACCGAGCAAUGCCGCGUGUGAGAUGACGGCCCUAUGGGUUGUAAAUCACUUUUAUUUGGGAAGAAUUGUAAGCAUAGGAAAUGAUGUUUACUUGACGGUACCUUUUGAAUAAGCCCCGGCUAACUACGUGCCAGCAGCCGCGGUAAUACGUAGGGGGCGAGCGUUAUCCGGAUUUAUUGGGCGUAAAGCGUGCGUAGGCGGCUUGUUAAGUCCAGAAUUAAAGCCCGAGGCUUAACCUCGGUUCGUUCUGGAUACUG